Macaca mulatta (Rhesus monkey) is the source of this 3937-nucleotide long non-coding RNA. NCBI's taxonomy places the organism in Eukaryota, Metazoa, Chordata, Mammalia, Primates, Cercopithecidae. The record is from Ensembl.
CACAAAACACAAGGGGUUUGGUCUAGGACUCUCCUGUCCUUUGAUUUCCUAGGUAUAGGGGAACCCCCAGAAGCCCCGUCCCCCUAGUUGCUUCCUCUGAUCUGUGAAUUCUGGCUUCUCUAACAUUUCUGAUAUGAUGAUUCAGGAAAAAAGUGGACUUGUCAGAGAGAGGAAGGGAAGAUAAAAAUAAAAUCAAGUUAGCCAGGCCUAUGAGUUCCUCUCAUCUUAGUCAUCCCCCGCUGCCCUUCCCCAUGAACAUCCACAAUCUUAAAAAUCCCACAGCCCUGCGCAGAGUGGGAGCCAGACUUUGGGGUCCAGGUCAAGGCCAGAGGGUAAAGGGGACAUGAUUCAGCCCUGUGGGCCUGCGGACGGACGGGGGGAGUGGGGGGCCCUGCAGGCCCCCCCGCCGCCGAGGACGCAGGGCUGUGGGCUAUGAGUCCUGCCUCACCCUGCAGCCUGCACCGCCUCUGCUUCUCCAAGCGGGAGCCGCCGAGUGAUUGAUGGGCCCCAGCUUGAAUGGAAAGUCCAGAUUCCAGCAACACAGCUUAAGAGGUGAUGGUGAUUUUCGACUCAUUCCCGUUACAAACAGCCGACCUUCCUACCGAGUUCAAGUACCUUCUGCCUGGCCUGGAAGAACCGUAUCUCUCUGUCACCCUCUUCCUCUGGCCCUCACCUGCCCUCCCCUGAACAUGCAUUUUGCCUGAGAGGAGACAGAGGCGGUUGAGAUGGAGUCUUGCUAUAUGGCCCAGCUGGUAAUGCCUGGAUUCUUGAGUCCCUCCCUGGCUCAUCCCUGGGAGAAGCACCGAACCCCAUGUCUGACACCUGUCCGGAAAUGGAGCCUGCACAUUGACCCUAGGAUAUACAAAAGGAGGCCCAUGUUGAUUCAGAGGAUGAAUGAGAGGAACUAUAGAGUUUGCUUCGUAGAUCAAAGGAAAGAUGAGGGGAACAGAAUGAAUAAAAUAUUGGAAAUAUGAGUGAGUGAAUCUGGUAGUGGAAAUGCAGAGCAAAGAAAUGACAACAGAGAAUUCCCACAAGAGGGAAAGUUCCAUGCUGGGAAGAAGUGAGCAAGAAGGUGUGCCCAGCUUUGGGAGAACUUAAAAUGCCAGACCCCUGAGUUUAAGCUUCAUAGGGCAACAUGGAACUACUGCAGAUAUUUUUUAAAAUUUAAAAUAUUCUAAUGAAAUAUUUCAUUUAUACAAACAUACCUAUUAUGUGAAUAUAACAAAUGAAGAAUAAAAUAAACACCUGUGUGCUCUCUAUUCCACUUAAGAAUUAGAACAUAGCCAAUACUUUUGAAUUCCUUUUGUAUUCCUCUUCCAUAUGUUUCCAAUUCUGUGUUUCCUAUUCCCAAAGAGUGAUCAUUAUUCUGAAUUAUAUAUUCAUUAUUCUCUUGCCUUUGGGUUUAAUUUUACUAUGUAUAUAUUAAGUUUCAUAUAAUUUUAAAUUAUAUAUAGAUUAAUUUCUCCCUUGUUAUUUCAGGCUAUUAAUCUUACUUUUUCUAUGUUUUAUUUCUCCCCUACCCUUCUUGCCUUCUUUGGGAUUGUUUGUUGUUCAUUUUAGUUUCCUUUUACUGGUUUGGAAAUUAUUCACUCCAUUAAUAUUUAUUUAAAGAUAAACACUUACAUUUUAUUAUGUGCACUUUAACAGUCUAAAAUCUGUUAGUAUCUUAACUACAUUUUUCUCAAGUACAAGGAUCUUGGAAUGCUUUAUUUUGUAUUACCCCCGUCCUCUUCAGCAUUGUCCAGUUAUUUUGUUUUUAAAUACACAAAAUAGAUAUUAUUACUUUUGUUUUACUUUGUCAAUAUUUGUUAGACUUAUAUAUAUAUGUUUCAUUUUCAUUGUUCAAAGUUUCUUCCUGCAUUGCUAACCUUCUGCUAAAUUCCUUAGUGAGGAUAUCUUUGCAAUAAACUAUUUUAUUUUAUUUUUUAAUCUGAUAGGAACUUAAAAUCUGGGUUUUCUGGAUAGACUGUCCAUAGUUGACAGUUACUUUUUCCUGGCACAUUAAAGAUAUUAUUCCAUUAUAUUCUGACUUCCAUUGUCACAAUUGAGAAGUCUGUGGUUAGUCUAGUUAUUGAUUUCUGUUUUGCAUUUUUAUUUUUGGUGAUCAAUCUUUUGUGUGUUUAAAAAUAUUUUUAUUUUCAUUGCUCUUCUGCAGUUUAACUAGAAAGUUUAUAGGAAUGCAUUAUAUUUUAUUUAUACUACUUUAUAUAAUUCUGUUUUUUAUAUGAAUGUAUAUCUUUCACAAAUUUUGGAAAUUUCUUAUUAUUUUUCUUUCAAUUAUUCCUUUGAAUAUUGCCUCUAUCCCAUUCACUAUUUCUGUAACUUCAGUUACAUAUGUGUUAUAUACAUUCUAAUUCUAUCCUUCAUGUUUCUUGACUUCACCUUCCUUCCUGUUUUCUACCACCUACUUCUCUAUGCUGAGUUCUAUAUAACUUGUCAGCUCUCUACCAUUUCAUAAAUUUAUUUCUCAAAGGUGUCUAAAAUGAUGUUAAAACCUUUCUUGGAGUUUUUAAUUUCAAUGAUUGUAUUUUUCAUUUUAAUUAAAAAAUUUAUCUUGCCAUGUUUUGAUACUCUCUGGCACUUUGUCCGUUUUCCCAAUUUUGUCUCUUUUCUUUAAAUAAUUUCAUAAUUAGUUAUAUUCAUUCUCUGAUAACCCAGUAUUCAAAUCUGUUGGUGGGCAUAAAUUUGAUGUUUGCCAUUUCUACUGAUGCUAGCUUCUGUUAGCUUGUUACUUUUUUCAUUUCUUAAAUUUUUACUUGGGCUCUUGUUUGAUUGAACAUAAUUUGUGGGAUCUGAUUUGAGGAUUUUGUGGUUUUUAUUUUCCCCCUCAAAAAAUCUGCUUCUGUUUGAAACUGGGAGCACUAUUAAACCAGACAGACUUCAGUUUCUCAGAUGGGCUUUUUUUUUCCAUAAGAGCAAUACAAAUUCAGACUCCUGAUGCCCCAGUGAGAACAGAUCUAGGUUACACAUUAUAAGGGAAGAUGAUUUAUAUAUAUUUCCAUCUAGAGCUACCACAGAGAUAGUUUUGCUUUGUUAGAAGGCUGCUUUUUUCAGUUUGCCCUUUCAAUGAAGACAUAUAUUUAUGUGGAGGCCUUGGUAAGUUUAGCUCCUUGACCUUGCAUGAGGCCAAAGCCUGGCCUCCCAUUUCCCAUUCACAUCAAAACCACAUUGUAUUAGGGACAGGACUAAUAGAAUAGAUAUGUAUAUGAAAGGGAGUUUAUUAAGGAGUGUUGACUCACACGAUCACAAGGUGAAGCCCCACAAUAGGCUCUCUGCAGGCUGAGGAGCAAGGAAGUCAGUCCAAGUCCCAAAACCUCAAAAGUAGGGAAGCUAGCAGUGCAACCUUCGGUCUGUGGCCGAAGGUCUGAAAGCCCCUGGCAAACCACUGGUGUAGGUCCAAGAGUCCAAAAGCUGAAGAGCUUGAAGUCUGAUGUUUGAGGUCAGGAGGCAUCCAGCACAAAAGAAAGACAGAGGCCAGAAGACUUAGGCAGUCUAGUCUUUCCAUGUUCUUCUGCCUGCUUUUAUUCUGGCCAUUGUGGCAGCUGAGCAGAUGGUGCCAACCCAGACUGAGAGUGGGUCUGCCUUUCCCAGUCCACUGACUCAAAUGUUAAUCUCCUUUGGCAUGACUCAAAGUGCUCAUGCCAGUAAACUAUUUUAUUUACUACUUUAGGCAUGACUCAAAGUGCUCAUGCCUAGCACUUUGGGAGGCCGAGGCGGGCAGAUCAUGAGGUCAGGAGUUUGAGACUAGCCUGGCCAAUAUGAUGAAACCCCGUCUCUACUAAAAAUACAAAAAAAUUAGCCGGGCAUGGUGGCGUGUGCCUGUAGUCCCAGUUACUCAGGUGGCUGAGGCAGGAGAAUUGCUUGAACCUGGGAGGCAGAGGUUGCAGUGAGCUGAGAUCGUGCCACAAGCCUGGGUGACAGAGCCAGACUCCAUCUC